This 637-nucleotide ribosomal RNA is filed under the name uncultured bacterium. RNAcentral describes it as "bacterial SSU rRNA". It matches the Rfam family "Bacterial small subunit ribosomal RNA", at positions 607 to 1244 of the family's 1533-position model. The record is from RNAcentral.
GCUCAACCGGGGAGGGUCAUUGGAAACUGGGGAACUUGAGUGCAGAAGAGGAGAGUGGAAUUCCGCGUGUAGCGGUGAAAUGCGUAGAGAUGUGGAGGAACACCAGUGGCGAAGGCGACUCUCUGGUCUGUAACUGACGCUGAGGCGCGAAAGCGUGGGGAGCGAACAGGAUUAGAUACCCUGGUAGUCCACGCCGUAAACGAUGAGUGCUAAGUGUUAGAGGGUUUCCGCCCUUUAGUGCUGCAGCAAACGCAUUAAGCACUCCGCCUGGGGAGUACGGUCGCAAGACUGAAACUCAAAGGAAUUGACGGGGGCCCGCACAAGCGGUGGAGCAUGUGGUUUAAUUCGAAGCAACGCGAAGAACCUUACCAGGUCUUGACAUCCUCUGACAACCCUAGAGAUAGGGCUUCCCCUUCGGGGGCAGAGUGACAGGUGGUGCAUGGUCGUCGUCAGCUCGUGUCGUGAGAUGUUGGGUUAAGUCCCGCAACGAGCGCAACCCUUGAUCUUAGUUGCCAGCAUUCAGUUGGGCACUCUAAGGUGACUGCCGGUGACAAACCGGAGGAAGGUGGGGAUGACGUCAAAUCAUCAUGCCCCUUAUGACCUGGGCUACACACGUGCUACAAUGGGCAGAACAAAG